Rattus norvegicus (Norway rat) is the source of this 10545-nucleotide non-coding RNA. Lineage: Eukaryota; Metazoa; Chordata; Mammalia; Rodentia; Muridae. The record is from RefSeq and is a predicted model, not a curated record.
CUAGGAGAAGAAACCAUCAAACUUUACAAUGUAAACGCACCAUUUCCUAGCGCCACCCUCGGCCUGUGAGAACUCCAGUUCCUCCACGUUCAGGAGUUGUGGGGGUCGAAGCCGGAAGUACACAGUCGCCUCCGUAUCAGCAGCAACUGCAACUUCCAAGCUGUUUGGGAAGAUGUCAGAAGAGUUCACCGAGUAGCGGGAGACAGCCCUGGUCUGGAAAAUCCUUAUAUUCGAACCUGCCUGCUGACAAAAGUACGCAGUUUUCAACACUGGCCAUUCAACAACUAUGUGGGUCUGUAGCCUGCUUUACUCCUGUGAUCACACGGGCCUUUAUAUUGUCAAGCGGGAGCUGACGGGGUUAGACCUGUGAUUUCCAGGUAUUUCCAAGGAGAUCUAAAGUUAUUAUUACCUAUUUAGGAAAAUAAUUCAUUUAUUCUAGGGAUUUAAAGAAUGCAGAGCUACUCCAAAUGACCGCCAGGAUUUUUAGGAGUUUUUUUUUUUCCUCCCCUCCCCUUUUCUCUUAUAAUGGCACUAUUAAAAUAUAAUCCACGUGCCACAGAAUUCUUAAAGUGUUGAACACAGUGUGAAUGCGUGAGCCACCAAGUUUACUCAUGGGCAUCUACUCAGGAGGAACGAAAACGGAUUCACACAAAAACAUGUACACAGAUGUUCAUGCGGCAUCACUCGUAACGGUGAGAAGAAACAAUUUAAAUGUAAGCGGAUAAACAGUAUUGGUAUGUACAUACAAUAGAAUACUGUUGGACAAUAAAACACGGGUACAUGACUAGGCGUCAUGCAGAAGGCCACAGGUUCUCAGGAUGCUAGGACGAAGUGCUCAGAAAGCACGUACCGGAGCACAGAGUAGAUUAGAGGAGCUCCGGGGCGGGCAGCAGAACCGUGGAGUGGCAGCAAACGGCACGAGGCUUUUUUUAGGGGGGGUUAAACCAUUCAAAAUUAGGUUCUGGUGUUAGUUCUACGACUCUGUAAGUGAACUAUACAACCACACAUGUACACUUUCGCACGUGUGUAUGUGUGUGUAUGUCUGUGUGUGUUUGUGUAUAUGUGUGUAUAUCUGUGUGUCUGUGUGUGUCUGUGUGUGUCUGUGUGUCUGUGUGUAUGUGUGUCUGUGUAUGUGUGUCUGUGUCUGUGUGUCUGUGUGUCUGUGUGUGUCUGUGUGUGUGUCUGUCUCUCUGUGUGUGUCUGUGUAUGUGUGUGUCUCAGUGUGUGUGUGUACACAUGCACAUGUCAUGUGCUUAUCAUUAUUCACUGUAUCCGAAGAGAAGAAAUGCAGUUUCAGAUACUGGCCUGUGUGACUUUCCCAGGGUUCCACAGCUAGGACAGAAGUAGGUUUACCUAUUUAUUUUACUAUGUAUCAGUGGCUGACCUAGAACUCGAUAUGUAGACCUGGCUGUCUCAGAGAUCCACCUGCCUCUGGCUCCUGAGUGCUGGGAUUAAAGGUGUGAGCCACCAUUCCCAGCCAAGUUGACUUUCUAAUGACGUUCUGUCUUUGUCCCUAUGACUUCCAGGGAGGCUGGCAGGACCAGAGGUAAGUGACUAUUGAUCAGGAGCCGGCUAUGGGUAGGAGAGCCCUAUUUGGAGUAUCAAUGGGAAUGACUAUACAUCUGACACUACGUGACUUCCAACACAUUAUGUGAAAGUUCUAACAUACAUGUUACACAUAUGUAUUGUGUCUACAGUAAGCCAGACCAGCUGAUACAGUCAACAGUAUCCUUCUCAGAAGGGAAGCUGUGAGGCCUCGGCUCUGGAAUAAACAUGUAUCUUACUUCUACUGUACUCUGAUGAUGAAACUAGGCUAGACUUAAGAUUUAUGAAUGUGGGCUUUGUCUGCUGAUGGGAGGAACAGCAGACAUGUUACAAAAGGAGUGGGUACACUGGUGAGGAAGCAGUGUACGGCCAUCGAACAAUCUGCCACAGUCGUGUAAUCAGAUGACUAUUGCCCCAGUCCCCUCCUCCAGCACUUAUUUUUCAAGAAGGCAGAUGUGUGCUUUGAGCUAUGAUUUCAGGGGCUAGGAGAUGAUGGCUAAGUGGUUAAGAGCAUGUGCUGUCCUUACAGAGGACCCAGGUUCAAUUCCUAGUACCUGAUGUGUAGACCAGGCUGGCUCCAGCUCCCAGAGAUCUGCCUGACUCUGACUCCUGAGUGCUGGGAUUAAAUGCAUGUGCUGCCACUGCUUGGCCAAGAUUUAUUUUUAGUUAUGUGUAUGUAUCUGUGUGGGUAUGCGCAUCUGAGUACAGGUAUCCAACACUUCAGCUCCUUUAAGGGACGAUGUCUGCUCUUAACUACUGAGGCAUCUCCGAAAUACUACACAUCUGUUUGGGUUCUCUACUUUUCAGCUAAUGCACAUAGUCCUGUAGAGAACAUCUCUUGAAUAGCUGUGUGAGUGCUUGUCUUAUGUUCUCUGGUAAUAAAUAUGUAGGAGUGGCACGGUUGGCCCUGUGAUAACUGUUUAGCUUUUCGAGGGAUCUAAGAACCCAAGCACCAGCUUUCCCACUAAGCCACACUUCUGGAGCAUCCCCAUCUUGUGUUUUCAGUGGUGAGCUGGGAACGACUGAGACUGGCUUAUGGGAGGUGAUAGCAUUUCUUUCCGUGAUUGUCAGUAGCUUCAGAUCGGCACAGGGAGUCUCACUCCCCAGACUAGAGCGAACGUGAAAAGAAUUCCUUGUGUUGUUCAUCUGCUUGUCACCAUCUUUUCUACCCACAGGUGUCAUUGUGCGUCAGAUACUCUGCUGGGCAGAGAAGGGGAGGGGGAGGGAGAAGGGAGGGAGAGUUAUGGUCUACAGCCUAACUGACAUCACAUAACUCAUUAUGUAGACAAGGGAUCCGAGCUGGGAAUUACAGACAUGGUUCACUGUAUCUAGCUCAUUGUAUAACCCAGGAAAACAAUGGCCCAAACCAAAACUCUCUCAAUGGCCUUUCUACAUGCAUUCUCAGGUGGUCAAUGGUCUCAAGUAUACGGCCUUCUGCUCUUGGUCGGGAACAGCAGUUCCUGGAGGCAAACCUGAGUUGUGUAUACAAACUCUAUCCCAUUUCACAGUGACGUCUUCUUGAAGGCUUUCAGUGCAGAACUGCUUUUAGUCUAUUUAAAGACAGAUUGAUUCUGGAACUCCUAGCAGCCAAGAUCUCCUUCCCCAGUGCCUGAUAUUGACAUUUCUACAUCUGCCUUUUGGUUUCCAGCCAUCCCUGUGAUCUGAUUGCAGGUAAUUGAGGGUUUUCUAAGCGGAAAAAGUAAGUUACAUUGUGUUCGGCAAAGGCAGAGAGGGUUGGGACAAGAUGCAGAGACUACCCCAGUCCCAGAAAGGCCAGAACUGCUCUAGACAGUCCAAAAGAGGCAGGUGAGGACUUCACAGAAUCCACAGAGGUGGUAAACAAAGGAAGUAAGUCUUGGUGAGUGCUCUUGGGCAGCCUCUGGUUUAUUUAGUCUCAUGCGUACAGUGAAUAAGGCUAUUGUAUCAUAGCCCUGGAGAGCAGCUCAGCACCAUGCUGUCCUUCUCUGUUCCUUCUGUGCUGUGCUCCCCAACCCCCAUCACUGCCUUUUUUUUUUUAAAUCCUUUUUGUUGGUUUGGUCUUUGUUUACAAGACAAGGUCUCCCUGUACAGAUCUGCCUAGCUUGGGACUCUCUGUGUAGACCAGGAUAGCCCUGACUCACAAAGACCCAUCUCCGCCUAAGUGCUGGGAAUAAUGGCGUGCCACCACACCUGGUCACCAAGUUCCUUUUUAUGGGGAUUUUGGAGUUAGAGGUGCAGAAAUGGAAGAAUCCUUCGCAGAGCCAGAGUUUGUUGGGUUUGUUCUGAUCUGGGAUGGGGGUGCCCUGAGGCCAUGGCAGGUUUCUUUCUCCCUUGUUUUUAUAAACGGAGGCCAAGAGUUGACACAAUACACACACCCCUUUCCUUUUCUUUUGUUUGUUUUUUGUUUUGCCUUUUGAGGCAAGGGUUCUAUGUAGCCUUGAACUUGCUAUAUAACCAAAGAUGACCAUUUAAAAACAAAAAGAUUUAUUUAUUUUCUCUAUGUGAGUACACUGUAGCUGUCUUCAGGGACACCAGAAGAGGGCAUCAGAUCUCAUUACAGAUGGUUGUGAGCCACCAUGUGGGUGCUGGGAAUUGAACUCAGGUCCUCUGGAAGAGCAGUCAGUGCUCUUUACCACUGAGCCAUCUCUCCAGCCCCCCAAAAAGGACCUUGGAACUUUGAACUUCCUGUUUCUAUCUCUCAGGGCUGAGAUCACAGGCAUGUGCAACCACAUCUGAUUUUAUGUCAAACUGGGACUUGAACCCAGGGCUUUGCGCCUGACAGGCCAUGGGUCUACCAGCUGAGCUACAUCCUGAAGAAGGCCAUCAGAAACAGUGUGAGCUGGGCCAAGAAAGGCAGAGGGGGUGGUACCAGGCAAUGUGUAGUUACACAGUACCACAGUACAGACAAGUUGCACGCAUGGUCCAAAUGAUCAUAAUGGCACUGUGUGCUCACCCACAAUCCGUCCCAGAACUCAGCUGAGGCAGGAGGUGUAGGAUGAUGUCAUUACGCAGAUAAAGGCAGGUACAAGAUAGAACAAGGCCUGUCAUUGGCUGAGAAGGAAGGUUGGGCGAGAGAAAAGUUUUAGAGAAGAGGAGGAGACGGGGACGAGAGAGGGAAGCCGCUGAGAGAAUAUGGAGGUGAAUGUUAAGAUUCCACUCUGUAUUUACAGGUUGUUAUGAAUGUUCUUAAGGCAAGGAUGUGUAUAGGGCUUUUCGUGUGUCUAGGUGGGCAAUUAUAUCUUAUCAAUUGGAUCCGAGGUUAUUGUGUUGUAUGUUCUUUCUUGUGGCGAUUUAAGUUUAAGAGAUAUUGUGAUGGUGGCGACACUAGGCCACCACAGAAUUGAGAUGUAUAUUUCUGGCAUGGUAGCAACCUGCCUUGGGAACUGGAUGGGUAGAGAGAUUGCUGCCAGGCUCAGAGAGAAGCCAUCGGCAGUGUGAUACGGGAUGGAGCAGAGCGGGUGAGACGCUUUGCUGACUGAGAUGAAGAUGUCUACCAGAUAUCUUGGGGCACCGCGGUGCCAGACCUAGUGUGGGAUAAAAGACAACAUUUUUUAUAAUUUCACAGCAACAAGGAGGAUUUCUAAUUCCUGCCUAUCUUCCCUCUUCCGUGUAGCAAAACAGUCUAAGCCACCAGAUGCUAAAGACAGGCUCUGUGGAUGUCUUCAGCUUAGGGGAUUUAGCCUUUCUUUCUGUCCUUCUGAAGGACAAAUGCAAAAUUCCAACUGUCAGAUGAGAGUAAUGUUCUUACUUCCUCCUCGAGGGAGUGGAGGCCCAGAGUUCAGUGGCCAGUCCAGGGCCAUCUCAGGACGAAGAUUAAAGGCAAAACCAACUCUACUCCAGAGCUUAGCAAGAGGGGUUCAGGGCUGGGUAUGGCGGCUCACACCUGUGAUCCCAGCACUCAGAAGAGUGAGGCAGGAGGAUUGGCUUGUGUUAUGGGCUAACCUGGGCUACAGAGUGCAACUCUGUCUCAAAAAUUAAAUAAAAAUUUAAGGGCUGGAGAGAUGGCUCAGUGGUUAAGGGCACCGACUGCUCUUCCCGAGGUCCUGAGUUCAAAUCCCAGCAACCACAUGGUGGCUCACAACCAUCUGUAAUGAGAUCUGAUGCCCUCUUCUGGUGUGUCUGAAGACAGCUACAGUGUACUCAUAUAUAUAAUAAAUAAAUAAAAUAUUUUAAAAAAAUUUAAGAAGACGUUGUAGGCAUGUGCAGAGCACAUCUACACACCAUCUGUAAAUCAUUACGGGCAGCUGCUUUCCCCUUUGUGAGAAUCCAAGGUCCUUAAAGUUACGUGGCAAGAGAAGAACCAUUAGAGUCAAGCCAGGAUGCAUAUAAGGGGGCACAGUGGCCAUAAGCCUGAAGUCCUGGCUACUUAUAGAGCUGGGGCAGGAGGACUGUUUCAGCCCAGAAGUUCAAGGGCAAUCUGAGCAUCACAGCAUGGCCCCAUAUUAAAAAAAUAUUUACAUAUAUAUGUUGCAGUGAGAGCUGGAUCUGCUUGCUCCAGCUGCUACUCUAUCCCGCACUCCGCAAGCCUCCCUCUCCCUGCCGCUGUCUCCCUUUCAGUCACCCUCUCCACACGGUCCCCUAGGUGGUAGGUACCACAUCUGUCGCCCGCCACACACAUCUCGUUCUGUGGGCCCUUGCGCAGUCUCACUCCAUGUGGCCAACAGAACCAGAUCCGCAUGCUCCAACUGCCUCUCAGCCAUUUCUUUCACACACUGGCCUCUUCAGCCCGGUAAAUCAAAGUCCCAGAGACUUGUAACUUAGCAAUUAGAUUUACAUGUUAAAUUCCCAAUCUACGAUACAUCCAACAACAAAUUCACUGCCAAUUAAUAAAGAGUUAAACCGACCUGCUCUGUUGUCUCCAUCUCGAUUUUUCCUCACUCUUCCUCCUCCUCCUCCUUCCUAGACCUUUCCCUGCCUACCUUUCCUUCUCAUCCAAUGAUAGGUCACGCCUUAUCCUGGACCCUCCUUGCUGCAUAAUGACACAUGUAUGUGUAUGUUCAUGAAUACACAUCAUAUAUACACAUAUGUAUAUAUGUGUACACGUAUAUAUGUGUGUAUAUAUGCACAUACAUAUACAUACAUACAUGCAUGCAUACAUGCAUACAUACACACACAUGAUUAGACCCUGGCUGGAAUAAGGAAGAAUGUGCUGCCAGCAUAGCUUCCUGGUAUUCACUGCAUGAGCUUGUGGUGUGCACACAUCCUUCCAUGAAGAGACUAUCCUUAGAGUGCACUCACAGAGUAACCAGAUCAAACAGGAGGUCCCAUUAACAGUCUACCCCAUCCUGGCCUGGCUGGCCUGCGUCGGGGCUGGGGGCUGGGGCGUGCCUUCCUGGGGUUUGAGGUGGAGUCUCCAGGCUCUGUGUGCCUCUCCUGGGGGUCCUGUGCCUUCCCAGCAGUUCCCCCCUUAGAUGGCCAAGGGCUCCCAAAGCAAUGUGUACCGGUGCCCAUCAUGCUCUGGCCCCAAGUCUCUGCUGUGUCAUCUCAGUAUAGGCCCAGGGAGCAGACCCCGGACCAAAGCCUGCUCCUGGGGAGUGAGGGUCCCGGAUACUGUGGAGUGGACCUCGGUAGCUUUGAGUAGGAAUGUCAAAGAGGAGCGCUGGUCCUUUUCAAUCACUCUACUGCUCCAUGGGAUGGGAGGUUGUGGAAAGGCUGGGUAGCCCGAGUGUGGGUGGUGGUUGCAGCAUUAGGCAAAGACCUGGAACAUUUUAAUUAGCAUAGAACAUCUUUUCUCCAGCUAAUUUGAUGGCUGUUAUGGUCCCAUCCUAAAAGUAAGGAAGUGGGGCUGGGGAUUUAGCUCAGUGGUAGAGCGCUUACCUAGGAAGCGCAAGGCCCUGGGUUCGGUCCCCAGCUCCGGGGAAAAAAAAAAAAAAGUAAGGAAGUAAUCCUGAACCUGGUGGCCACUCUUUAGGGGUUUGUUCUGCGCUAGGAUUCACCUACUUGAAUCAAUCUUCACAUGGCUAUACCCUGCUGGGCGAAUGAGGAAGUCAUGCAAGAUUUCCACAGUCUCCAGAGAGAGCAUCAAGGCCAUUUUCCAGCCCAGUUUGGCUUACUUGUCAAUUUUUUGCGUCCUCACAUUCCAGAAGAUCCGCUUGCUCUUGGGAUAAGUUUACCCUAGAAUUGUCGUGUAGGAUCAGCUGGCGGUGAGAGAUCUUCUAACCUGCUCCUUUCCUCACUGGGUUUCCCUGCUCUAUUUUAGGGGCUUGGUCCAAGUGGGAUAGCCCCUGGGUGUGUCAAGAUCUUCCAGGGAUCCAAGAGAUUGUAGAAGAAUUCCCUGAUCUGGCAAGAGGAGACUCCAUCUCACUGUAUGUCUGCUCUCUCUGACCUGACCUGAGCGCCUGCUGGGUCCACCUGAGGACAGAGGCCUCUCCCACAGGCACCUCCCUGGCUGUAGUUUACACCCCUUGGUUUGUACACACGUGUCCGAUGCUCUAGGAGGUCAGAGGCCACAGGGCCCCGGGAGCUGAAGUUACAGGCAGAUGGAAUGCGUCCAGGAACAGAGUCAAGAACAGGGAAAGGUCAGUGUGGUAGCUUUGCCUCAUCUAAUUGCAAGCCCUCCCUCUAUAAACACUUCCCCGCGGCUCCCUCUGAGGCAGCAUCUGCUCGCUCCCUUCUCUGCUUCUCCGUGGCAGGAAGCAGGUCCAGCUUCUGCUGCCCCCUCAUCGGUCCUGGGCUCAGGCCUUGGAUCUCUCGGGAGACAGAAGUGCAUCCAAGUGCAAGCGCAAAGCCUGCUGGGCCUGGGCUUCUUCUGAGCCAGGACCCCAUGCAGGAGCUUGGCUCCUGCGUCUUCUGGCUGUUCCACACUGAAGUUCAGCGUCCUUUUCCUUCCGAUUCAGUAGCAGUUUGGGGUGGGCAGUUUGACAGCUGCCUACCGUUUUCAGAAAUGCCAGACUCUCUGAAACUGACAAACAGGCAGAUUGAUGGACUCUGUCUCCCAGUUCCUCUUGGACAGUAGGAGCUGCUCCCCUGGAUGCUUCUCCCAAAGCUGCUCUUUAAGUGGCAUUUAUCUGCGCACAAGCCGGAGCUAAGAAAAGUUGCCUGGCACUUCCUGAUACUCUAAAUUCAAGGAAUUCUAUGGGGGACUUGAUUUUAAUCGCUGUCUUGGUUAAUUAGAGAGACAAGAAAUCAUCCCCCAAAAGUAAUUAAUGGAGCUGUUAGCGGAGGGGAAGAGGCUGCGUUUUGCUUGGGUACUAGGAGAGCCUCCGGUGGAGCUGGGGCUGUGGGUCACCGGCAACUUCUUGGGGAAAAUGUGGCUAUUAGUUCUGGCAUCCAGCCUGCCUGCUUUCUCUUCAGGACACCACUGGUUACUGAGUCGACAGAACAGGGCUUAGCCCGUGAACAUUUGUAAACUGCCAGCACCUAGCUGGUAGGAGUGAAUCCCAUGACUUAUUGGUGUCCAGUUUGUCUGUUUGAUGCCCCUUCACCUUUGCCCUGCAUUAUCAGGAGCCAGAGGUCACCUGUGUUGGUUUUCUUUCACCCACCCACCCACCCGGCUACUAAAGUCACAAACACUGUCUUUUCCAGGUUUGUGUGUUUUUGUAGAGUCUCAGUGUGUAGGCCUGACUGGCUUCAGACAUGUAGUGGUUCUCCUACCUCGCUCCCCAGGUGCUGCAAUUUCGGUGGUGACGUCAUGCCACACUAUCCUCAUCCCUUAUCUUCACCAUUCUUUCCCUGACCAAAAAAACCAAAAAACCCAAAAAGCAAACAACAGCAACAACAAGCCAUUUUUAUGGAGACGUCUAUCUGGACAGUGCCCUCAGGACUCUGAGGUACCAGGAUCAAAGGUUUAGGAAGGACUUGGACUUCAACUUUGUUUUCCUCAGAAACAGCCAGGGCCAGGUCACCUCCACCAGCCAACUUUCUAAUGGAGGUGGCAUUCUCCGGGAUUGGCAGCCUGGGAACCCACACAAGUCCUGUGUCCGUCUAAGGGAGGGGAUGUCUAGGACUGCAGGGCAACCCUGUGGUCUGUCCCUCAGUAAUCUCUCUCUCUUUCUCUCUCUCUCUCUCUCUCUCUCUCUCUCUCUCUCUCUCUCUCUCUGGGCUAGAGGCAGAGAAGAUGGGGCCAUGCUCACCUCUGCCAAAUGGAACAACAUAGCCUCUUAAUCUUUGGCAGAGACUUGCCUCUCAGAGCACUUCCUGUGUGGAUGGUGCAGCCUGCUCUGGGACAGAUAGCUUAUGUGAGCAUUCUUCCCUGUACAGUGUUCAGACUGAAGGCACCAUUCCUCAAGUCGAAGAUGUGAGCCACUGAGUGAAACCUCCCUGCUGUCUGCCCAAUCCCAAAGGAACGAGGGGAAAGUCCUCAUGGGAGCCCAGGAGACACAGAACAUGUACCUGCACCUCUCUUUUCCUUGGAACACACACUCUUUCUCCCACCGUCAGAAGACUCCCAAAGACCAGGGGAUGCUCUGAGGGUGGCACCUGAUACUCCUCCUUGAGAUGAGUCGGAGGUUAACGAUCCUGUGUGAAUUACCUCCACUUAAUACUCUGUUCUUUUGAGCCUGUGCUAGCCCAUGCUGGCUGCAUUCUGCCAGAGUAUUCGCUGACACUUAAUGUUGAAUUAUUACUCGUGUGAGCAGAGCACACAGCACGCUGUGCCCUCCUGGCUGAAGAUGUGGAAGUGGUGCUGGGGGAUUCGCCUUCUACUCAAUGAAGCCUUUCUGUAUGGAAACAUGAGAACCCAACCUCAGUAGGGAAAACUGAGUCAGAAGAGCAAGGGACGUGUGUGCCAACACUUUCCUAGGCAGUUGUAGUUCGAGGGUGGAAGUCAGGCCCCUCCCUGCCUGGCCCAGUGCCUUCCACCCUGUCUUCCCUACCCUCCAGUAUGACCCCUUCUUACCAAGAACACAAUGGCUACCCCGAUUGGUGCAUUCACCUGAUGAGCUCUUAGUAACCAUAUUGUUUAUUGAGUCUUCAGAAAGCACUAGAUCAGGGUUGAGGAUUUAGCUCAGCGGUAGAGCGCUUGCCUAGCGAGCGCAAGGCCCUGAGUUCGGUCCCCAGCUCCGAGAAAAAAAAAAAAAAGCA